This 49-nucleotide ribosomal RNA is filed under the name Abrus precatorius (Indian licorice). RNAcentral describes it as "Eukaryotic small subunit ribosomal RNA". It matches the Rfam family "Eukaryotic small subunit ribosomal RNA", at positions 1783 to 1831 of the family's 1831-position model. The record is from Rfam by way of RNAcentral. RNAcentral also lists the same sequence under 97 other names. Lineage: Eukaryota; Viridiplantae; Streptophyta; Magnoliopsida; Fabales; Fabaceae.
GAGAAGUCGUAACAAGGUUUCCGUAGGUGAACCUGCGGAAGGAUCAUUG